RNAcentral lists this ribosomal RNA (906 nucleotides) under Usnea ceratina. RNAcentral describes it as "eukaryotic LSU rRNA". It matches the Rfam family "Eukaryotic large subunit ribosomal RNA", at positions 1 to 921 of the family's 3401-position model. The record is from RNAcentral. Lineage: Eukaryota; Fungi; Ascomycota; Lecanoromycetes; Lecanorales; Parmeliaceae.
AUUGACCUCGGAUCAGGUAGGGAUACCCGCUUGAACUUAAGCAUAUCAAUAAGCGGAGGAAAAGAAACCAACAGGGAUUGCCUCAGUAACGGCGAGUGAAGCGGCAACAGCUCAAAUUUGAAAUCUGGCCCCGUCGGGGUCCGAGUUGUAAUUUGUAGAGAGUGUUUCGGGUGAGACCGCGGUCUAAGUCUAUUGGAACAUGGCGUCAUAGAGGGUGAGAAUCCCGUAUGUGACCGUGGUUCGAGCCCAUGUGAAGCCUCUUCGACGAGUCGAGUUGUUUGGGAAUGCAGCUCAAAAUGGGUGGUAAAUUUCAUCUAAAGCUAAAUACUGGCUGGAGACCGAUAGCGCACAAGUAGAGUGAUCGAAAGAUGAAAAGCACUUUGGAAAGAGAGUCAAAAAGUACGUGAAAUUGUUGAAAGGGAAGCGCUUGCAACCAGACCUGUCCGUAGGUGAUCAGCCGCUGUUCUCAGCGGUGCACUCGCUCUGCGAUCAGGCCAGCAUCGGUUUCGGCGGUCGGAUAAAGGCCUUGGGAAUGUAGCUUCCUUCGGGGAGUCUUAUAGCCCUCGGUGCAAUGCGGCCAGCCGGGACCGAGGACCGCGCUUCGGCUAGGAUGCUGGCGUAAUGGUUGUAAGCGACCCGUCUUGAAACACGGACCAAGGAGUCUAACAUCUAUGCAAGUGUUUGGGUGUUAAACCCAUGCGCGGAAUGAAAGUGAACGGAGGUGAGAACCCUUUAGGGCGCAUCAUCGACCGAUCCAGAUGUCUUCGGAUGGAUUUGAGUAUGAGCAUAGCUGUUGGGACCCGAAAGAUGGUGAACUAUGCCUGAAUAGGGUGAAGCCAGAGGAAACUCUGGUGGAGGCUCGCAGCGGUUCUGACGUGCAAAUCGAUCGUCAAAUUUGGGUAUAGG